UACGUAGGGUGCGAGCGUUAAUCGGAAUUACUGGGCGUAAAGCGUGCGCAGGCGGUUCUCCAAGUCCGUUGUGAAAGCCCCGGGCUCAACCUGGGAAUGGCAGUGGAAACUAGGGGACUGGAAUCUGGCAGAGGGGGGUGGAAUGCCGCGUGUAGCAGUGAAAUGCGUAGAGAUGCGGAGGAACACCGAUGGCGAAGGCAGCCCCCUGGGCUGAGAUUGACGCUCAGGCACGAAAGCGUGGGGAGCAAACAGG
Molecule: ribosomal RNA, 253 nt
Filed under: uncultured bacterium
Lineage: Bacteria
Description: partial 16S ribosomal RNA
Rfam family: Bacterial small subunit ribosomal RNA
Source: RNAcentral